RNAcentral lists this transfer RNA (77 nucleotides) under Kushneria phosphatilytica. RNAcentral describes it as "Kushneria sp. YCWA18 tRNA-Arg". It matches the Rfam family "tRNA". Rfam says of the family: Transfer RNA (tRNA) molecules are approximately 80 nucleotides in length. The record is from RNAcentral. Lineage: Bacteria; Pseudomonadati; Pseudomonadota; Gammaproteobacteria; Oceanospirillales; Halomonadaceae.
GCCCCCGUAGCUCAGCUGGAUAGAGCGUCCCCCUCCUAAGGGGAAGGUCUCAGGUUCGAAUCCUGACGGGGGCACCA